UUGGUCAUUUAGAGGAAGUAAAAGUCGUAACAAGGUCUUCGUAGGUGAACCUGCGGAGGGAUCAUUACAAGUGACCCCGGUCUUACCACCGGGAUGUUCAUAACCCUUUGUUGUCCGACUCUGUUGCCUCCGGGGCGACCCUGCCUUCGGGCGGGGGCCCCGGGUGGACACUUCAAACUCUUGCGUAACUUUGCAGUCUGAGUAAACUUAAUUAAUAAAUUAAAACUUUUAACAACGGAUCUCUUGGUUCUGGCAUCGAUGAAGAACGCAGCGAAAUGCGAUAAGUAAUGUGAAUUGCAGAAUUCAGUGAAUCAUCGAAUCUUUGAACGCACAUUGCGCCCCCUGGUAUUCCGGGGGGCAUGCCUGUUCGAGCGUCAUUUCACCACUCAAGCCUCGCUUGGUAUUGGGCAACGCGGUCCGCCGCGUGCCUCAAAUCGACCGGCUGGUCUUCUGUCCCCUAAGCGUUGUGGAAACUAUUCGCUAAAGGGUGCUCGGGAGGCUACGCCGUAAAACAAACCCAUUUCUAAGGUUGACCUCGGAUCAGGUAGGGAUACCCGCUGAACUUAAGCAUAUCAAUAAG
RNAcentral lists this ribosomal RNA (580 nucleotides) under uncultured fungus. RNAcentral describes it as "eukaryotic LSU rRNA". The stretch from base 224 to 377 matches the Rfam family "5.8S ribosomal RNA". The record is from RNAcentral. Lineage: Eukaryota; Fungi.